RNAcentral lists this ribosomal RNA (716 nucleotides) under Faberia thibetica. RNAcentral describes it as "eukaryotic LSU rRNA". The stretch from base 295 to 450 matches the Rfam family "5.8S ribosomal RNA". The record is from RNAcentral. Lineage: Eukaryota; Viridiplantae; Streptophyta; Magnoliopsida; Asterales; Asteraceae.
GGUUUCCGUAGGUGAACCUGCGGAAGGAUCAUUGUCGAACCCUGCAAGGCAGAAUGACCUGUGAACAUGUAAAUACAACUUUGUGAUGGGGAGAUGGUCUUUGGACCUGAUCCUCAACACCUCCCAACGUGUGUGUGCGUGGUGUCUCGUUUGGGCCACCAUGGAUGUCUCGUUGGACUAUAACAAAUCCCGGCACGGAAUGUGCCAAGGAAAACAAAAAAAGAGGAGGACUCGUCUUGUUAAUGCCCCGUUUGCGGUGUGCUUACAGUACAUGGCCUUCUAAAAAACACAAACGACUCUCGGCAACGGAUAUCUCGGCUCACGCAUCGAUGAAGAACGUAGCAAAAUGCGAUACUUGGUGUGAAUUGCAGAAUCCCGUGAACCAUCGAGUUUUUGAACGCAAGUUGCGCCCAAAGCCAUCCGGCUAAGGGCACGCCUGCCUGGGCGUCACGCCUCGCGUCGCCCCCCAACAUACUUCCCUAACGGGUAUUGUUGGUGUUUUUGGGGCGGAGAUUGGCCUCCUGUGCUUAUUGCGCGGUUGGCCUAAAUAGAAGUCCCCUUUGGUGGAUACACGGCUAGUGGUGGUUGUACAGACCCUCGUCUUGUGCCGUGUGUCCUUAGCCUAUAGGGCAACCCUUAUCUAAGACCCCACUGUAUCGUCUUUAGACGAUGCUUCGACCGCGACCCCAGGUCAGGCAGGACUACCCGCUGAGUUU